ACCUGGUUGAUCCUGCCAGUAGUGAUAUGCUUGUUUCAAGGAUUAAGCCAUGCAGGCUGAAAGUCAAGUUAUAAACUGUGAAUGGCUCAUUAGUCCAGCUUUUUCUUCUUUGAGGGUUGACAACGGAUAUCUGUUGGAAACUGCAGCUAAUACGGUUCUGAGUGUGGCUUUGCCUCAGAGUUGUGCGAGAAAUUUGUUGAGUUUCUAGGCACUUCGACGACUGUGAUGCAUGCUUUCUGCUGGUUUUCUCGGCAUUUGAAGGAGGGGUCUGACCUAUCAGCUUCCGUCGGUGUUGUAUUGGAGCACCGAGGCUGUGACGGGUACCGGGGGAUUGGGGUUUGGUUCCGGAGAGGGAGCCUGAGAGAUGGCUACCACGCCCAAAGGUGGCAGCAGGCGCGCAAAUUACCCAAUUGUUUGUUAGACAGAGGUAGCGACGAGAAAUAGCAGCGCGAACUAAGUUCGUAGACUGCAAUGGAUAGAGUUUAGAUCGUUCUGUGAUGAGCAAUUGGAGGGCAAGUCUGGUGCCAGCAGCCGCGGUAAUUCCAGCUCCAAUGGCGUAUAUUACUGCUGUUGCAGUUAAAAUGUUCGUAGUCGUGUUUCACAGUGCUGCAGGGAUUCUACACUUUGUGUAUUUUCCCUGUUGCGGUGACCAGGGCGGUUGGAGUUUCACCAGAGUAGGUGGAAUUCUGUCGUCUUUUAUUGAACUUCGAGGAAAUGGGGUGGCUCAAGCCAGGCUAUUCGUUUCGGCGUUGCACGGCCCAUUCAGUGUGGUACUUUCGGAGCGGGGAGUCCUCGGAGCCUUUGCGUUUCGAGGGAUUCGACCGCUUAGCGUACAGGAAUGGACGGAGACAUCCGUAUUGAACAGCAAGAGGUGAAAUUCUGGGAUUUGUUCA
This 893-nucleotide ribosomal RNA is filed under the name uncultured eukaryote. Its description in RNAcentral is "bacterial SSU rRNA". It matches the Rfam family "Eukaryotic small subunit ribosomal RNA", at positions 1 to 932 of the family's 1831-position model. The record is from RNAcentral.